RNAcentral lists this ribosomal RNA (253 nucleotides) under uncultured bacterium. Its description in RNAcentral is "partial 16S ribosomal RNA". It matches the Rfam family "Bacterial small subunit ribosomal RNA", at positions 524 to 776 of the family's 1533-position model. The record is from RNAcentral.
UACGUAGGGUGCGAGCGUUGUCCGGAAUUAUUGGGCGUAAAGGGCUCGUAGGCGGUUUGUCGCGUCGGGAGUGAAAACCCAGGGCUUAACUCUGGGCUGGCUUCCGAUACGGGCAGACUAGAGGCAUGCAGGGGAGAACGGAAUUCCUGGUGUAGCGGUGAAAUGCGUAGAUAUCUGGAGGAACACCGGUGGCGAAGGCGGCAUCCUGGACCAAUAUUGACGCUGAGGAGCGAAAGCCAGGGGAGCAAACGGG